Molecule: ribosomal RNA, 490 nt
Filed under: uncultured bacterium
Lineage: Bacteria
Description: partial 16S ribosomal RNA
Rfam family: Bacterial small subunit ribosomal RNA
Source: RNAcentral
AUUGAACGCUGGCGGCAUGCCUUACACAUGCAAGUCGAACGGCAGCAUGAUCUAGCUUGCUAGAUUGAUGGCGAGUGGCGAACGGGUGAGUAAUACAUCGGAACGUGCCCUGUGGUGGGGGAUAACUAGUCGAAAGAUUAGCUAAUACCGCAUACGACCUGAGGGUGAAGGUGGGGGACCGCAAGGCCGCAUGCUAUAGGAGCGGCCGAUGUCUGAUUAGCUAGUUGGUGAGGUAAAGGCUCACCAAGGCGACGAUCAGUAGCUGGUCUGAGAGGACGAUCAGCCACACUGGGACUGAGACACGGCCCAGACUCCUACGGGAGGCAGCAGUGGGGAAUUUUGGACAAUGGGCGAAAGCCUGAUCCAGCAAUGCCGCGUGUGUGAAGAAGGCCUUCGGGUUGUAAAGCACUUUUGUCCGGAAAGAAAUGGCUCUGGUUAAUACCUGGGGUCGAUGACGGUACCGGAAGAAUAAGGACCGGCUAACUACGUG